RNAcentral lists this ribosomal RNA (277 nucleotides) under uncultured bacterium. RNAcentral describes it as "partial 16S ribosomal RNA". It matches the Rfam family "Bacterial small subunit ribosomal RNA", at positions 29 to 295 of the family's 1533-position model. The record is from RNAcentral.
AACUAACGCUGGCGGCGUGCCUAACACAUGCAAGUCGAGCGGACACCACUUUGUAGCAAUACAGAUGAAGUGUUAGCGGCAGACGGGUGAGUAACACGUAGGCAAUCUACCUUUCCGUCCGGGAUAACUAGCCGAAAGGUUAGCUAAUACCAGAUGCGCUCAUCGAACGGCAUCGUUUGAUGAUGAAAGCAGCAAUGCGCGGAUUGAGGAGCCUGCGGCCCAUUAGCUAGUUGGUGAGGUAACGGCCCACCAAGGCAACGAUGGGUAGCUGGUCUGA